UACGUAGGGGGCGAGCGUUGUCCGGAUUUAUUGGGCGUAAAGAGCGUGUAGGCGGUUCGGUAAGUCUGUCGUGAAAUCCUGAGGCUCAACCUCGGGCGUGCGAUGGAUACUGCCGGGCUAGAGGGUGGUAGAGGCGAGUGGAAUUCCCGGUGUAGCGGUGAAAUGCGCAGAUAUCGGGAGGAACACCAGUGGCGAAGGCGGUGCUCUGGGCUGGAACUGACGCUGAUGGACGAAGGUCAGGGGAGCAAACGGG
RNAcentral lists this ribosomal RNA (253 nucleotides) under uncultured bacterium. Its description in RNAcentral is "partial 16S ribosomal RNA". It matches the Rfam family "Bacterial small subunit ribosomal RNA", at positions 524 to 776 of the family's 1533-position model. The record is from RNAcentral.